AUUAGAUCAGUGUUCAUAAGAACAUCUGUAGGCACACAUACACACUCUCUUUAUAGUCAGCCUUCUGCUUGCCACAGUCAUAGUGGGCAGUCAGUGAAUCUUCCCCAAGUGCUGACAAUUAAUACCUGGUUUAGCGGCAAAGAUUCAGAGAGGCGUGAGCAGCCCCUCUGGCCUUCAGAAUGAAGAUGAAAAGAAGAUGUGUUUAGGAACCUUCUCUGCUUCCCUAAAAGAACACUAAAAACAGUAGUAAAAACAGUGAAGAAAACAAAGGACCUUUAAAGUGCACUCGUUAAAACCUAAUAACUGUAUUUCUAUUACUAAAUGUAGAAGUGGUAAAAAUCUUUAACAGGCAAUGUCUCCCCUGCAUUCUAGGGAUUCAAAGAUCCAUCUUUCGGUUCUGUAAGACAGUCACGGCUUUUGUAACCUCGGUGCCCCCUUCAACCUCCCGCCCCAAGCACCUCCAGGGUCGUCAGGGAUGUAGUUUUGAGUCGCGCUCCUAAGCAUCCAGACAGGCAGGACACCGUAACGACAUCUCUGCCGGGAGUCCCUUCAGACUGCGGUCUCCAGGUAACCGCACUCCAACAGAAGCAGUUGUGCUUCCUAUCGGGUCACCUGUUCAAAAGUCCCCAGGAG
This 633-nucleotide small RNA is filed under the name Pan troglodytes (chimpanzee). Its description in RNAcentral is "processed transcript". The record is from RNAcentral. Lineage: Eukaryota; Metazoa; Chordata; Mammalia; Primates; Hominidae.